Molecule: regulatory RNA element, 47 nt
Organism: Scleropages formosus (Asian bonytongue)
Lineage: Eukaryota; Metazoa; Chordata; Actinopteri; Osteoglossiformes; Osteoglossidae
Rfam family: Histone 3' UTR stem-loop
About the family: The mRNAs of metazoan histone genes lack a poly-A tail. 3' end processing occurs at a site between a highly conserved stem-loop (modelled by this family) and a purine rich region around 20 nts downstream (the histone downstream element, or HDE).
Source: Rfam
CCAAAGGCUCUUUUAAGAGCCACCUCAUUUUUAUCUCUGAAAAAGCG